Molecule: long non-coding RNA, 18575 nt
Organism: Myiozetetes cayanensis
Lineage: Eukaryota; Metazoa; Chordata; Aves; Passeriformes; Tyrannidae
Exons: 2
Source: RefSeq, a predicted model, not a curated record
UCUCUCUGUUUUUUUUGUGGCAGAAAAUCAAUGCCAUAAUAGCUAUUCCUUUUUGGCAAGAGACUGAUAGCAUUGGCCAGCACCCAGAAUAAUGCAAGCUGGAGAUAUAGAGCUCUGCCAAUGUACCUUAAAUCUCCUGACCUUCAGCAUCUCAAGAUUUCCAGCCCUGAGAAGAGAGCUUUCAGGAGAAGAGAUUGAUAAUUCUGCCUGGCUGCGAGACGGUGUCCAAGACAGAACUCCAGUGGGAAACUGAAAACCUCCUCUGUGCUGCUGCUUCUUUCACAGUAAGGUAAAUAAUGGCUGAUGCCACUGAAGCCAAGGGAACUGAUUACUGAAACUAGGGCUAAAGACAGCAAAAUCAGUCCUCCCAGGCACGUCCUGGCUCUGGGACCGCGCUGCUCUGGGUUUGCUCACAAAUGUCUGUUGGAUGAAAACGAGCAUGUGCUUGGGGUGAUUUUUCUACCCCACAGAUCAGCCUGUGUUUGGGAGAGGGACUCCUUGUGGAUACUGAUGUGCUGUUCCCCUGUGGGCUGUCCCCAGUUUGGGACAGGCUGGGUCCCAGACACUCUGAGACAGCUGAGCUGCCUGACCCGUGGAGAUUGCCACAAGACUGCAGUUGCAGUUCAGCAUCCCUUGGCUUCUGGGAGUGCACCUUGUGCUGAUUUUACCCUGAUUAACCUGCUGUGCUGCUGAUGUGCCAAGGUAAACUCGCCCAGUUCUUGAGACAUUAACAUUUUACUUCUUGCUGAACGGGAGGGUUUGGUUCACUAGUCAAAGCACGGCUCUGGGAGCCAAAAGCGCUGACAUCUCAGUCUGCCUUGAGCAAUGACUUACCGCGUGACCUUGUCCCAGAUGCUCUGCCUUAAUUUUUCCUUCUGUAAAAAUGGGUAUAUGAAUUCUCAGGAAUCCACCUUUCCAAGACUGUUUACUAAUGUGCAGAGCAGUAAUUUUUCCUGUUUGCUGCUGACUUGACUUGCUUCGUGAACCAGAGUGGGCUGCUGGAUGUUAUGAUGCAAAGGAAACAUUGCCCCAAGCUGAUGCCCAUAAUAUAAUUCCACCAUGAAAUACGGCUUAUGAAGAGAUAUCAAACCCAAGGAUUCUUAUGCAUAGCUCUAUCUUUUCACUCCUUUCAGAUUUAAGCUUGCAGUUCUGUUGUCUACAACAUGCUUGCUGCUCUAAUCCUUCACAUUUUACUUAAUCUGAGAAAAUUCCUUCCAGGGGAUAUUUUGAUGUGCAUCUGUAUAAUUUUUUUUCCUUAGAGUGAAUAAAACUAUCCUGCCCACAUACAAACAGGCUGAUGAUGAGUGAAAAAGCAGGGUUAUUUCACAGGUCUUAGAUCAAGUGCAUCUAUUAUAACUGUUGAACCUGAUCUUCUGCAUAGUCGAACUAUUUGCAUUUUGCCAAGAGAUUUUUGCAUGCCUGUACAUUUUUAUAUAAAUAAUAUUUGUUUAACUUCUUUUUCUUUUCUGAAAAAAAAAUAAAAAGAAAAAGAAGCAGCAGAAGACAGCAUUUCUUCAGACACAAGUGUUAGGAAAAAAGGAGAAGCAAUAGUUAAGCUAAACUGGAAAGUGACAGUGUACCAGAUGCAUUGACACUAAUGUGCCUCUUUAGAGUUCACGCCUAAAGGCUUUGUGUGCGAUGAUAAAUAUAUUUGUUUUGGUUGCUGGAGGUGCCCUUAAAUUAUUAAAAGACAAAACAAAAAAAGGACUUUUCAUUUUCUAGCCCCAUUAACUUGUUUCACUGGACCUGAGAGACUCAAAAAAGAGUACAGAAUUGAAAAAUCAAGGCUUAGAAAGCCCAAAAUUCAGUUAUAAUUUCCAGUCUUCCAGUUGUAUUUCGUGUUCCUAUCUGUCUAGGUCCAGUUAGCAGUGUUGCUUAAUCAUAAAUCCCACAACCUCUGACUGCUGCAAAAGUCUUUUUAUAAUAAGAGGGAAAAUAGGACAUUUUCAAUAUUUCUUUCUAUUGAUUUUGUGCAUGAAAGAGAGAGAGAGAGGGAGAGGGAAAGAGAAAAAUAUGCAAUUGUGAAAAUAUAAUAAUAUAGUACCAGUAUAAUUUUAGCUAAAAGAAAAAUCCAGGUUAGUGAGAUGGUGAAUGGGGGCUAAAAUGAAGACACUGAGGUGACGAGGUUCAUGGUUAAUGAAGCUUUGAUUCAAAGAAAUAGAGGUUGCCUCUUCUUUCUCUCUGGCAGGGAGAGUUUGCUGUGGUUUUCACCUACAUCUUUAGAUACCUUUUCUGUAUGUGCUCCCCCAGACCCCCUUACACACACAUCAAAGGCCUAAGUAUAAGAUUAGUUCUAGUGACACCAGCUGAUGUGUACAUAACAUACACAGGCACAGCCUCUGAUCAGACUAGGAGCAAGAACUCAGGAAGUCUUGAUUGAAAAAAAUAUCAGGGAGCAGUUAAGGCUUGGAGGAUGUUUAGGCAGGCACUGAUAAAGCAAAUACCACAGUAGGCAGCAGUGGUCACAUGCCUGGGGCUGAAGAACAGCCCCUGUCUAUCCAUCCUGAGAUGGGAAAGCUGUUUCAAGGCUAAAUAAAACAAAGGACAGAGAUUCCCCAGGUUCGUAAAAUUGUAAGCAAAGUCUCCCACAAACUUUCACGAAUUUGGCUUUUCCACAGUAAGAUGUAUUUAUUUAUUUUUUAUAAUGAUGCUCUUUUGGGCCAAGAAAGGUCCUUAACUGUGAUUACAUAUGGUGAUCUUUAUCCCAUUAAAUAUAUAAUAAAACAGAACCCUUGUUAGUGGUUUGCUCAGUAUUUUUCAAUAUCAAGUGCCAUUCAUUUCACAGGCAUCUUCACCACCAGGAACAACAUUUUAAAGAUGCUGUGGAGGAAAACCUGGACCAUCAAACAGAGAUAAACUUGAAUGCAAUUAUAGUGGCAAAUGAUUGUGUACCAGUGAAUCUUGGUUUAACCUAAGCUGUGCAAUCACCCUCUGCAUCCUUUCCAGCAUCUUAUUAUUAACCUCUUGUCUAUGGAAAAGCCACUCAAAAUGAAGGAGCAAAUGAGAGCAGUUUUAAUGUUGGGUUUUAAAUCUUAGCUGGGUCUUUUUUUUCAGGAACAAGCACAGUCAGAGCUGUAAGUGCAGCCUAUAAGGCUUCCCAACACUGUCCCUUCUACAUGACCCCUCUUUUCAAAAGCUUUGCCAGAAUUUUGUAAAAUUGUGGAGCAACUUAACUGCUUUGGCUGAAAUAUGGUCUGCCUAUUUAUGACCUUGUUUGGUUGUUUGGUUUAAUUUUGGUUUUGUUUGGGGAGGUUUUGUUUGUUUGUUGGGGGGUUUGUUUGUUAGUUGGUUUUGGUUUGGUUGGUUGGUUUGAGAGUUUUAUAAUGUUAUUCCUUUCCUCAAAAACCUCUGCCUUAAUUUCAGCAAAAAAUGAUUUGGCUGUAAGUUGUAAGAGGGAAUUGGAAAAACUGCUUGUUUUGCCCAGUUUCAUGAGAUUUUUUGGGAAGUCAAGCAUCCAGAUGUUCCACAGCAGACAUGAUGUCCCCCUUGUGCCAGGAAUGUGCCUUCUGCUACUCCUAUUAAAAUUCAUCCCCAUUAAUUUUAAUUAUUAGCCUCUGAAAUAUCUGUUUGCAUGUACUCAGAAGGGAUAUAUUGGAGUCUGCAUGCUAAGAUACCACCCACCCUGAGUGGGCUCCACUCCCUCACUGUGCCUCUUGGUUGGCAGGACUGGCUGUACAACUUACCUAAAAUACAUGUGGCUAAAUGUGUUGAUCUACAUUUCAUCCAUCUCCAUCCCCACCUGAGAAGGCCACACUUACUCUAAAGAUAGUUCAGAGCUGAUCCAUAUGGUCAGUAAAACUCAGGAUAUGAUGCAUUUCACCACCUUUGGUGAAAUGAUCAUCUUUCAUCAGAGCUGAACCCCAAGGUCUCCAUGCGAGGUUAAACACUCCACACUGCGGACAGGAAAAGUUAUUGGAGAUGAAUUUUGUCUCAAGCAACUGAUCAGUCCAGCACUGAAGGGAUUCAGCAGUAAAGUGUCCUGGGAAUCUGUCAUGAUGAAAUAUUUAGAGGGAGAAAUUACUUGUCUGAACAUUUGUUUAGCAUCAUUUCUGGGUGGAAUUUUUGACACUAUUUCUUCCCAAAUUAACUCAAGCUACUAGGGAUUUCAGGCCAAUUCCAGCUUCUCAAAUGGAAUAUGAAAAAGAAGAAAGAAAUUGCAAACCUAUGGAAGUAUCAAGCUAGCCAGAUGCAGUGAGGUGCCAGUGGAAUUUUUUAUUGUGCAAGGAUUAAGAAAAAAAAGUAAAAUGCUAUAUUAACUGGCAUUUUUAAACAUAGACUCAUAUUUCUGUGAUAGGAAAAACACUUGAACAAAUUAAUGUAUUUUAAAAAAAACAGACAAGGGUUUAAAUAUUUGGAGAAUAAUCAUGGAAAUUUGUUCUAUGGGAUAAUAUAAGACCUGGACUCAUAUAAACUCAAGUAGGAUUUCCUACUGUUAAAAUAUAUGUCUAGUGGGUGGUGGAAUAUGACAACCAAAUUCAAAUAUCAGUUUAUAUUAUGACUCUGGACUUCCUAGAUUCAAAUUCUGCUGAUGCUCUGAAGUAAUAGGCUCGUUAAAUUAACUUGGCUAUGCCUUAUUAACAGCAGGACAGCCUGCAGGUAGUCACUCUCUGCAUAUGCACUGAGCUUCCCUCCCCCAUCUGCUUUCAUGAUGGACAUUACAUAGUGUUCAAAAAGCUAAAAUGGCACUUUAGAAGAAAUUGGUGAAGCCCCAAUAUUGUCUUGAGAUUCUGCGUUCUUCUUUCUCCUAAGCCUGCUAAAUUAAAUUUUGUUCCUUACCCAGUUUCUGAUCCCUGUAUGAGUUCCAGAAAGAGCCAAGCAUGAGGAUGACCCUCUCUUUUCCAACAGGCAGGGAGAGCAAGAACUGCAGGGAUGCCAGAAGAAAUGGCUUUCACUGCAAAAUAAUCUGGGCUGAGAAAUGCUUGCACAGAAAUGUUUUUCUUUUAGAGUUGGACAUACAUCUGCCCCCUUAGCACAAGAAGUAGCUGUUCCUGGACAUUCCGCUCCAAAAGCCAACAAAAGAGCAAGGAACGGUCACUCCACAGAGAUACUUCCUAAAGACCUGCUAAGGAUGACAACAAGGGGUGGGCAGUUCUGUAAUUUUGUGAGAGGCUGAGGGUGCAGAUUCCCUGAUCUCCUGAUCUCUGAGUUGUCAUUUGCAUUUCUGUGCUGGAGGAGCUGGGCUCUCAGUGAGCAGCACCUGCAGAGCAGUGAGGGCCUGGGAGAAGCGAUCCCUGGUGACAGACGGUGGCAAGUCUGACCAAAUUGGUAACUUCUGUUGCAGCCUCCGUGAACUGCUCAUCCAGAAACUUCUCAGCUGUUUGUUAGCUUCUGCACUUGAGAACAUGACAAUCCCUGGUGUUACUGAAGGGUCUGUUUACUGCUACAAGCCUUAAUGGGAUGCAGCAUGUCUCUGCUGCGUGUUCUACCAGCCCUGGCUGCAAAAGGGAGGAGGGGAAGAAAGGGGAAGGGCUUUGCUCCUGACUGUUUUUUGCAUUAGGAGGGUUGGGAGGGAAACAGUCUUCAGUUGUGAAUGAAUGCUGCAUGCAGGUGCUGGGGUUUGCCAGUCCUUUCAAUGUCUCCACACUUUGCCCUAAAAAACCACGUGGAAAGGCUUGAUUUAUGAUUCAGUACCACUGGCCAGUCUAGGCAUUUCCAGCAGCCUCAAAAGAUACAUCAGUAACCUUGUAACGUUUGUUAUUCUAAUAUUGCUGAUCACAAUGAUGUAAAUAAUCAAAUGGCUUUGAGAAUUUGUGCAGGGUGUCAAGGAAGGAGAGGAAAAUAUCUGCUCAUGCUUUUUAUUUGGAAGUGCACUUCGGCCAUGGCUUUGUAAAAUUGGAAGCUUGAGGAAUAAUCAAGACUGCAAUGGACUGCUGCAGAUGGAGAAAGAUCUCACUUACUGAUCAUCACAAGUGAAGGAUGUGUCUCAAUCUUCUACUCGUCUCUACUGCACUUGUUGCCUGCUCUCAGGCUUCACAGGUAGAGGUGAAGAUUAUUUAUUUGGUAUUUGUAAAGCUGCAGAAAAUCUACUGAGGUGUUCCAGGGAAAGAAAAUUAAUAGUUUUGAUAUGCUUUCUCCGCUGGAAGACUUUGCAACCUGGUUUAAAUGUGAUGCUCAGUGUGAGCAGAGUGAAGAAUAGGAGAAGGGUCAAAGUGCUCAGAAUUUGUGGUGAGUUAGUCUGGUGUUUGUGUGUGUGUGUCUGUGUGUGUCAGUGCUGCUCCUUCUCUUCCAUGAAACAGGCAUCCAAAACUAAAGAGUCUGGCUAACCCAGGCUAUCCUCUUCCUGACUUUUGAAACAGGAAGGCUGUACUGUCCAUGGCCAAACAAGGUAGUGUCAUUUGAAAGUAAAAUAACCUUUUCUCGUCUGUUCACAAGGAAGAAAAAUUACCGUAAAUGUGUCCUCUUCUCUGGCAGCCAAGAGAGGACUUGCUCCCCUACCUGCCAUUGGAUCUUUCCCAUAGUUCUUUCUACUGUUUAAUGCAGUUUCAUGCUCCCUUGUGCAUCCAAACUUCUAUUGAUUACUUCAGUGUCCUUCUGGUUUCCCUGUAACUCCUUUAGCCUUUUUAUUUUUAUUCCUCAUUAGCAACAUCCUUCCCUAAUUUCUCUCACAUGUCUUUCAUGAAGUUCACAAGACUACACAGUCCUCACUACACAGUCCUCCUCACUGGUCCUUUUUGACAGAGAUUUUUUACAUGUUAGUAUUAAAACCAUCAGGAGGUGGCAACUACCUUAUAGGUGUAAGCAGGUGUGUUUUUUUGGGAAAUGUAAUAGGAAUUCAGAUCCAAAUUGCUAGUAUAGCAAUAAAAAAAUUAAGCAACCCAACCUGAAUAUCUGACAUCCACACAGUACAAGAGUUGAGGGUUUUACAUCAAUGUGUCAGUAGACGGAUCUCAGAGAUUACCAUCUGGGGCUGAAGUGCCUGAGCUGCAUUCUCAGGGAACCUUUUGGUUCAGUUUAAUCCAAAAUGAAAUAUAUUUCAGGUGCAAUGCCAUUUUUUUUUGUAGGGAAGUGCAGCAAGUACGACUGAGGAAUUCACUUCCAAGGCAAAUCCUCACCUACACCAUGUCUCUAAUGUAGACAAAUCCUGGAUGUCCAUCUUUAGUAGAAAGUGGAUAGUUUUCACUUAUCUCUGAGAAAUACUAAAAGUUCUACUAUAAAGGCCCUAUAAAAUAUACUGUAGGUUAGUCCUAAAGGUUUCAAGGAGCUGUGACUUGCUGGAGUAUGUCUUUCAAAACCAUAAAAGAGCUUCUCUUGGAAAAGCAUUAGAAAGGUUUCUUUUCUGUUUUCAAAAUCAGGUGCCUCAUGGCCCGAUGCAUUUUAUUUUCCAUCCAGAAAACAUUGUUUCCCUCUUAGAUAAGCUUCUUGUGAUUGAUCACAUUUUUAUGAGACUUGAUUCCUUCAGGUCUAGGAGAAACUCCAAACAUUUCAUGAACUACAACCUGGAGGCAGAUAAGCUUCAAGCAAUGGGUUGCUCGUCCCAUUUCCUUGCUUGUUAGGGCAGAAGCAGCCAAACAGAGCUACGAAGGAAAUGUGCUGAGCUCUCAGCUUCCCUGUAGGUAGCUUAUCUACCAUUGGUCUGGUGGAAUAACAUGACCUAGUGAUCUUCCUCUAUCUCUCGUCUUGGUGAACUCUGUCUUGUGAACACUCUAGGGAUCAGGAUCCAGAAGUGAGCUAAGUUAUCUUCUGAUGCAGUUUUGCCAACUGGAUCAUCUACCCACCAGUAACCCAUGUGUGAAAGGGAAUUUUUGGAGCAGAAAAUUAGGAAUGAAGAUGUUAGAGAAUUUUCUGUAUUGAAUAUCUGUAGGGCAGGGGAGGAGGAAAAAAAAUCUUAGAAGCCAGGAUGCUGUAAAGGCAUAUGUUUUGUGUUGUAUUUUAUUAGAUUUCCUAGUGGCUUUUGCUGUCUGUCCAAAGUGUGUGCCAGUCUGUUUUAUACUCUUAAAGUGCAGUGAUUCUGCGCUGAUCUGGUGUUGGUGGGUGGCUAAAUGUAAUUCAAAUAUGUUAGUCCAAACUAGUGGUGUUGAUACAUUUUUUGGAAAAACUUCUGAACAUCUUGUUCUGGCACUUUGUGCAGUCACAAGCUCUCUCAGAAGUUUUGCAGAGAUACUGCCUUGAGAUUGAGGAAGAGCUUGACCUGACCAUCACAGCUUUAUCCUAGAAGAUGCCAUACCAGUGAGGAGAAGGGGUUCUUUCCAGCUAGGUGGGAAAUUGCAGCUCUGGAGAAAGUCACCACAAAGCUUCUUUUCCCUGCCCAAGGUGGAAGAAAAGAUCUGCAUAAUUACUAAGUCUCACAGCCAUCAAAGUAUUCACAGGGUUAUUUUCCAACCUAGGAAGUCCAGUUAGGUGGAAAAUAUUCCUUUGAUUUAUGGUCCUGAGAUAGCCAGCUCAUAAAUUAAUGUUUGCAUUGGCAGCUUCAGUAUGUGCCUUUUACAUCUGAAGGCUGCAGGUAGCAGAGAGUGACAGGAAGGCAUCAGACUAAGAUGUGUAAAACAUACAGAAACUGUGUUUAUUUUCUGUGUCUCAAGUGAGAAGGCAUUUCACUAUGAAUGUUACACCAUGGCUCUUUAAAUGCUUCAUUAUUUGAAGACAUGACUUGGAAAUUAUUGAAAGCAAGAUUUCUGGGUGACAGCAAUCGGUGAGGAGAGGUAAACAAUGAAGAGCAAUGCAGUUAAGACGCAGAAGGUCUUAGAUCACUUUAAGUAAUUGGGCAAAAAGAUGACAAAUUCAGUUCGGUGCAGAUAAAUGUAGAAUAAUGAGCCUCAGAACAAAGAAUAUAAAGAAAGAAAUUGUUAAGUACGAGAGUGCCACAGCUUACUGACUAGCAAAGAGAUCUGGGGAACUAAUGGAGAGAAAACUUAAUGAUCAGGAUAUAACUGUUCCUGAAUGGGUGGAGUCACAGAGGAAUAAGAAAAGAGUCAAGAAUUGAAUUUUUCAUGGACAUAAAACUCUCUUAGGUUAUCUUGUCCAUCCUCUUGCAUCAGCUGAAAGACAAUUCUUUCUGCAAAGAACCCCAUUAUGUUGAAUUAUGAGGACUGUCAAGGUGAUUUAUAAGAGAGAUUUAGUUGGAGUGCGAACAUUUUUGCUAGCCAACACAAAACCAGGAAUGUUUUGGAUGAAAUUCUGACCUCACUGACACAGAUGUAAAUAAAAUCACCUGUGAAAUUUCCAGCAGAACCUCUCAUGCUAUAUGGAAGUAUAUACACACUUAUUUAUUCUUACAGCUGGAAUUUUACUCCAGGCUUUGCAAUACUGGGAUUAUAUUUACAGCUGCAGCUGAGACAGUGCAGAAUUUGGUGCAGAUGGGUUUUUUACCAGGGAAAUUCAGCAGACCUGUGAAGCCCAAACUGACUUAAGGCUGUUGACUGGAAUCCUACCUUGCCUCUUUCAUGUACUGCAGCAUGGUGAUUUAGUUCAGAUGUUGAUCUGAAUAAAAGGUUAUCUGCUCUCAGUAGACCCACUGACUUCAGAAGUACUAUUGGAGAGUUAGAGUUGAUUCCUGCAGUUAGAGUAUAAACAUGAAAGGCAAGAAUAGAAGCCGAAAACUGUUUUCUGCUGCUGGAAUCUGCACUAAAGUCCAUCUGGGAUCCAGAUCUGGUUGUGAUCUUCCUCCAAGGGCUGGUCAUACCCUUUGCAUUUAACGGGCACAGAAGCAGUCAGAGGAACCCAGACCCCCCUUUUCCCCAUGAAGUCAGAGCAGACCAAAGCCCUCUUGUGCUUUUACCUAACAGGGCAGUACAGGUUGUCCUCCUCUCUUCUUUUGAUGCAAGGGCUGAAGACCUUUCCUUCUGAAGCUUGGAGUUACAGGCAUGAGUGAGACACAUAGAAAUGACAACUGUGAGUGCUACAGGAUUGCUCUAAAAUGGAAAAAAACCCUGCUUAUGUCUUUUGGAGGAUGGACCCAUGUUGCUUCUUCAGGGAGGAUUAGGGGGCUUCAAGACCUUCAGUUCUGAAAAGACAGAGAAACCCUCCCACUACCCUGUGCCAGGUGAAGAACUGAUGAAAACAGGAUGCAGAGGAAUCCAGGGAAUCAGCACUGACUGCUGGAUCUUGGAUUUCAGAUGUCUGGGAUCCUUGCAUACCAGGAGGGUAUUAUGGUGCCUACAUCUUUCCAUGAAAAAAGCUCAAGAUCCAUAAGUGCAAUCUAUUUAGAGCACUGUCAUUUUGUUCAUUCAGCCUUGGAGAAACUUAACUCUUGGUAGGAAACAGCUGUAAUAUCCUUUUUUCAUGUCAAUGAGGUGCAUAUUCACCUGCAUCAUUAGCCUCUACCACUCCUUAUUUCCAAACCUUUCUUGGGGACCAGAAAAUGCUUACACUGUUAAAAAUCAUCAAUUUAGGAAGCUAACACUCAAGUGGAAUUUGAGAUGUUAAUUAAAAGUUUGACUCCCUGAUCUCUAGUUCCUUUUUUUUGUCUUCUGCUGGGCUCUACUUCUGAGGAGGCAAAGCUGAGGUGCAGGGUGGGAUGGAAGCAGAACUGAUGUGCUGAUGGCAGCAAGUCAUGCACAUCACACUGUGGUGGGCCCAAAUCAGCUCCCUUUGUAUAAACCAGUCCAUUUUAAGGGAGGUUUUUGGAGAGGUGGACAUGGAAAGUGGAGGAAAGAAGACAGAGGCAAACCUUUGAUCCACCACAAGGGUUUCCACUGCAAAGGUACUUCUGUGUUCAUAUCUCUGUCUGUAAAACAUAUCCACACACAAGCAUACAGCAUUUAUACAGAGCCCUUCCCCAUUUCCCAGGGGCAGGAUACCAAUAAAUGCAUCAAAACUCUCUGAUAGCUUGGCCCUUGGAGCCUUUAAAAUGCUUGGGAGAGAUUUUUGACACUUAACUUCUAUUUUUAAGAAAUGUGGUCUUUCUGUAAGGUGUUGCUUGUUGGGAGACAUUAAACUGAGCUGAAAUCCCCUUGCAACUUCAGUGUUUUGUGGGAAAAUAAUGUUCUUUCUGAUGAAUUCUGACUUUCUGUGGCAGUGCCAACAAAAUUCUAUUUUAUUUAUUAUUCUUAUUUUCUUUCCAACUGGGGUUACUGUCAGUGUCUAAUAAAGCUGCUAAUAAGCCUCUGUGACAAUUUUCUUCCUUCUGAGGUCUUGUUCUCAAAAGUGUGACAUCCCACUGGCUUUUCAACAUAUAAAUGAAAUGAUUUUGCUGCUCUUUGAUCCGCUGUAGUUUCCAAAUACCUUUAUGUUUUUAUCAAAUGGAUUCCAAGUGUUCAGCUACAUGAUUAUCAGGUAUUCAUUUAACCUUUUUGACACACCAAAAUGUCAAAUCCUUCAAGAUGACUUUUUGAAUACAAGGCUACAGAACUUCCUCUCAAAUUCUGUUGUGUCUUAACAACUCUGUGUUUCUGUUGUUUUAAACAUUAUGUAUGGCUUUAAAAUAAAACCAUACCCUGCCUAGCACUGAUCAUGGCUUGGGUUGAGAGGGACCUUGAAGAAAAUCUGUUUCCUACCCUCCCUGCCAUGGACAUGGACACCUUCCACUAGACCAAGCACAUCCAACCUGGCCUUGAACACUUCCAGGGAUGGGGCAUUCACAGCUUCUCUCGGCAAUCUGAGGCCUCACCAUCCUCUGGGUAAAGAAUUUCUUCCUGAUAUCUAAUCUAAACCUACUCUCAGUCUGAAGCCAUUCCCCCUUAUCUUGUCACUACAUGCCCUUGUAAAAAGUUUUUCUCCAUCUUUCUUGUUGUCUCCCUUCAGAUACUGGAAGGCCAAAAUUGUCGCCCAAAAGCUUUUUUUUUUUUCCCCCCCAGGCUGGACAGUCCCAAUUAUCUAUGUUUCUUCAUAGCAGAGGUGCUCCACCCAUCUAAUCACCUUGAUGGCCUCCUCUGGACUCACUCCAACAGCUCCAUGUCCUUCUUGUGCUGGAUCCCCAGAGCUGGAAGCAGCUCUGCAGGUGGGGUCUCACCAGAGCAGAGCAGAGGGGCAGAAUAAUGAACACCUCCUAAAGCCUCCCAGCUGUAUAGAGUAAGAUUGAGUUCCCUCCCAUGGGAAAUCCCUGACUGUAGCCAACCACAGAAGGAACAGGAUGUUGAAGAAGCUUGCUGGUAGGCAACUAAUAUCCCCCAGCUUAAAAAUUUAUCUUCUUCUGAAGCAUAAAGAACAACUCCUGACAUGGGGUAUGAACAGACUAUGAACCUUGGGUUUCUGGGGGCAAGGGAGAUAACCUGAUCUGAUGAACAAAACAGAGCAAUUCUGCAUGAUUUGGUAUCUGUCCAUUAUCUCCAUCAAUGAGCCCUUUCUGCAGUGCUGCAAAUGGCAUUCCCCUUUUCAGAGGAGAAAUCCAAACACACACGUAAUCUCCAGGCCAUAAUGAUAUUCAUAUAUUCAUAUCGAGACCAUGUCCCUCCAGCUCAGACUCUGGAUUAAUGUCACUUAAGAAAUUCCACAUUUGAAGUAUACAAUAAGAUUCUUCCUAAAAAUAAAAAUAAUAGCAAUUUCUAUAGGAUCGAUGUGUUGUAACAUAUUUUACUGCAAAGAAAAAAUAUACCUCUAUCAAGUAACUCCUAGGAUGGUUCUGCAGAGGAAAAUGGUUUUCUUUCACUUUAAUUUAUUUCAAUCAAGAGUAGAUAUCUUUCCAAAAAGUAUUACUUAUUUCAAAUAAGAAGGAGAAACUCAGUGCAGCAGUUGCUGGAUAGAAAUCAUGAUGGUUGGAUACAGUAGUCCCCUCUCAACUUGAAACUCCUGGGUGAGUUCCUGAUUUCACUAGAACAGAAGGGAAUGGGAUUGUACCUCAUCAAGUGAUGCCUUGUACAUACAGAAGAUAUACACACGUAUCUGCAUUUUAUACUACAUCAAAAUUUGAAACACAGUUAAUUUGUUUUGUAUCAUUUGGUACAGGAAGAACUCCAGAAUCAGCUGCAAGAGGCAAGUUCAACUACUGUUUUGAUGGAAAGUUGUCCAGCAGCAUUGCAGAUGGAUAAAGGUAGAAGUUGAUGAAAUGUUGGAGUUGAAUAAGAAAGGCCAGGGGAUACUAUCCACAAGCCGUGUUUCUGAACCUUGGUAACAGGCUCAGAGCAGGAAUCCAAGUAGGGCUGUUAGCGAGGAGGAGCAACGUGGGCUGAUUUUUGAAAAAAUGGGCUGAGAUCAGCUACACCUCUGCAUUUAGUGUCAAAGCAAAACUUCUCCGUCUGGGACUGUAGUAGGACAUAUUUUCACUCACUGGCAUAUUUACAGUCAUGGAAAUUACUGUCUAGGUUUGAAGAAAAGUGUAUAAAAUGUGUUGUAAAUGCAGUCUGUGUAUUUGUGUGUGUGUGUAUAUAUAUACAUAAAAUUUGGUUUGCAUUGACUAUAUGGUGUUUUAAACACCUGAACAUGAAAUGCACGCAGAUGGGACAUUUGGACCAUUGGCAACUGUUUUGCAUGACAGUGCAUCCAGUGAAAAGGGAACUACACAGGAGCUAAAUUCAGCAAAGGAGACCUGAAUUUUCCUACAGGCUUGGGUGAGAUAACUUGACCUAUGGAAAUAUCUUGGGCAAAAUGAGUGUGAGUCUGUGUGCAUCAUCUUUGCAAUCAAUAAAAUGGGGAGGCAGCAGCAUGCCCUGUGAAUAUAAUGAACUCUACAGUAACCAAAACCUUGAUGUCAGAGUUAGGAGGCUCAGUAUGGAUUUGUGCUGCAUGGUCUUAAGGAUGAGUAAAGGACACACUACUGACUCAAAAAGAGGAUUAGAACCUUCUCGUGCCUUUCACUGCUCCAGCAGGACAUUGCUAUUGGUGAAGUCUCUGAUUAAGAAGCAGUACUUGAGAGAUAACAAAUUUUCAGUGAUUACCAUGGGAACCACAAAUGAUUUCAUAAGGGUGGAGAAAUUAUAAAAAGUUCUAAUUGAGAGAGAUGAGGCUUAAAACAGUUUCUAUGGAAACCAGAGGUGGCAUCCAAAAAAAGUGUGUGUACUAAUCUGAUAGCCUGAUUGGCAGGUAAUUGGUGCAGUGUUGGAGUGGGAAAACCUUGAGAUGUGAGAUGAAAUGUCCAUCACAUAAAUAAAAAGCCACAUAGCCUUCUGAAGAAGAGCUGGAGCUUCAAACUCUUUCCCUCCCAGUAGAAUACACUUAUCACUCAAUUGGUGAAUCAUUUUCAUUCUUGUCUCUAUACUAAGUGACUCUCUCUCUUUUUUUUUUUUUUCCAUUGCAGUGUGAUAAACUUCAGCAGAGGUGAUGGAUGGAGCUGCUCCCUCACCUUUCCCAAAGGGUAGAAGUCAAGAAGGUUCUUUUAUAGACAGCAGACGUGAGCUCCAGUGUUUCUUUUCUCAGGCAGAAAAGAGAAAUGAACACAGACUUCCAGCCUUCAGUAAGAGCUCUGAACACUUGGAUGAGAUACUUGCCUGUGUUUUCCAGGACUUCAGGUUCUUCUAGCUGACUGGCCAACAUCCAGCCAAGCUCAUUUCACAGAGUUCAGAAGUUCUGAAAUACUUUUACUUGUCAGAUCACAGUGGAAAUCCCACAAACACAAUAUCUGAUAUGACAUGUGAAGUAACAUUCAGGCAUGCAGUAAACCAGAUAACCUGGUAUUUCUAUCUAGCAGAACUAUUUGCUUUUAGGGCAAGAGGAAAACUCUUGUCAAAAGAGUUUCGCGCAAGACACAGGAUGAGCAAAUCCAAUCUUUGCACUCUAUCAUGGGGCUACAGCCCAAGUACAUUACGAUAUCUUUCAGCUUGAUGCCUGAAGAAGGAAAAUAUUACUGUUGUCAAUGAAUUAGAUAAAUAGCAGGCCUUUGGCCAGCUGCAAGUUGCUGAAGUCCUCAGCAAAUUCUUUGCCAACUCAGUGGUUUGGCAGACACAUAUUUUCCUCCAGUAUUCUCUGAGCUCACCAAAUUCAUUUCUCUAUUCAGCAGAUGUAGACAAAAAAGCCCACAUUUAGAAACAUUUCAGAACUAUUUUAUGAAUCUAAGGUGUUUUGGAAGAAGAUAAUACUUUCUGUUGAAAGAUCUAGAAGGCUUGUCUUCAAUCUCUGUGGCACUGGGGUUCAUGGCCCCCAGUGCUGUCCAUAAGAAUGAUCUAAAGGAAGUACAGAAAAAAUGUUGGGAGAAAAAUCAUCCCUUAACCCAGUUUAGAUUAAUCCAGGGUCAAGCAUCACUCUGUAUUAUAUAUAGGACUAAGGUUAAGUGAGUCCCACACAUAACACAAAACGUUGCAGUGUCUGUCUGGAUAAUAAGCUUAAGUGGUAACCUUUGAGAAAUUCUGUCUUUAUAGUGUGAUAAAAAGUUUGUUUUCCAUAGACUGAAGGGCUCCAAGAAGCUGUGAGGAAUGUGGUGACAUACAUUUAAGGAAGACUCUUAGAAUAAUGCAAAAUUAAAAGUUGUCAUGCUACUGAAGAGGCUCUCAGGUGGUCACCCUGCAUCACGGUUCAGUGAAUCCAUCACUGCUGAUACCACAUCUUCUUUUUAACACUAUUUCACAAAAAAGGGGGCAGUGAACUAAACAGAGAAGCUGAAGAAAACAACAGACGUAGCCCAGUGCAAGAGCACUCAGGGCUCCAUCCUGCUCACUCAGCCUAGGUAAUUUUAGUGUUUCUUUUUUCCUCUCAGAAACUCUGCAUUAUUGAAUUGUUGUGUAUGUUUUCAUUCCCAUUGCUGCCAGUGGGCAAGGAGACAACCAGAGAAACAAACAGGACCCAGCCAUGCUUCUGGUUGGGUGAUUGCUCAUCUGCUGUUUUUCUGAUUCAGUGAUGGGUGGUGCUGGUCUGUGCCAUCUCUAUUAUGUACGAUGUAAAAUUUUCUGGCAACCAAAUCAUUAAUCUAUAUUUAAUUUAAUUUUAUUUCAUUUUGGGUCUUGCAAUUGCACUUCUCAGAAAAGCUGUCCAUGUGGGGGAAGGUGUGCAAUAACCUGAUUUAUACAUGUGUUCAAUGGAACACAAUAAUAAAAGUUUCUGCUUCACAUAGGUGAACAUUUCUGUGUGGGUUCUGCAGGUGAUGCUUCAUCCUUUCCAGUACAACAUGUCAGUAGUCUUAAGCCCCUCUGGAGACUCUCACAUUUCUUUUCUAUGCAAAGAAAAUGUUCCACUAACUGCAGAAAUAUCAGAGCUCUGUGGGUGCAAGAAAGACAUCAAUCCUCUAUCAUCAGGGACAGAAGACAUAAUUUACCAUUUUCAGGGGCCUAAAUGAAAGCUGGAGAGGAACUUCUGAAAAGAUCAGAGAGUGAUAGUACAAGGGGGAAUGCCUUUAAACCGACAGAGGGCAGGUUACGAUUGGGAAGAAAUUCUUCUCUGUGAGGGUGGUGCAGCAGUGGAACAGGUCACCCAGAGAAGCUGUGAAUGCCCCAUCCCUGGAAUUGUUCAAGGCCAGGUUGGAUGGGGCUUGGAGAAACCUGGCAUAGUGAAACAUGUCCCUGCUCAUGGCAGAGUGGUUGGAACAAGAUGAUCUUUCAACUCCCUUCUAACCCAAACCAUUAAAUGAUUCUGUGAUUAUGAGGAAUCAAGGAGCAAGAAUAACCACUGGGCCAAGAUUAGGUCUAAUGAAAUGAAGGAAAUUUUGCAGGGCCUAGACAGAAGAUACUUAGCCUUUGAAGAUUCAGAAAUGUUUGACUGGGUGCAGAGUAGGUUUUUAUUUCACUUAGGAGCAAAGUUUUGAGGGUGGAAUAAUACUUUGCUUGAAAACACAACCGUGCUGCUCCAUAGGGGUCAAAAAUAAAAAUCAGAUGUUGGAAAAAUGAGCUAACAUCAUAAAAGAGAACUUUGUCCUGUCUCUCUGUGACUCCACAUUGCUAACAUUCUUAUGGAUGUAUGGAAUUGUGUCCUGUCUGUCUCAAAAAUGUACAGUAGAACUGAAUAUCGUGGAAAGGGUGACACAGCAAGGGAUAACUGUAUGAGGGAUGAUUACAAGACUAAGAGUCUUCUCUCUCAAAAGGAAACAGCAGAGGAGGAAUUUUAAAGAGGCCUUUUAAAACCUGAGUGGUAUGGAAAAAAUGAUGGUUUACUUCAUGACCUCUUUCAAUACAAGGGCUAGGGGAUAAUAAUGAAACUAUCAGGCUUCAGAUUGCAGGUCCAGAGCAAACAAGAAGAUGCAGUCCCUCGUGUAAUGUAUAAUUAGGCUGUGAAAUCUCUUCCCAGGGGAUGCUGUAGAUGCUAAAAGUUUACGUGUGUUCAAGAAACUAUUAGGUAGAUUCAUAGAAGAAAAUACAUGCUAAGGACUAUUAAAUGCAUGUACACAAUGCCUGUCUCAGGAAUUCCUAGACGACAAUUCACUGAAGCUGGGCAAUGUUAGCACAUGCUGACUUAGUUCUUUCUCUUUCUUAGGAAUGCUCUUCUGGCCAGUGUCAGGGAUGGCAUAAUGGGCAGAAGGAAAUUUGGGACCCAACUUAAAAAGCUGUUGCCUCAUGAAAAGAAGUGGACUUGUGAAGCGGUGUAGCUCUGAGAAAGAUAAGAUGAAUGUGGAAUGUGGAGCAGAAGAAGGUGACACAGGACAAUGAUGAUCCACUGAUGAGAUAUGUAGAAGUACCAGAUCAGGAAGUAAACCUAUAACUUCCAGUGAUCUCUGUCAACACCUUUGCCCAAGAGCUGAGAGAUGCAAAUCGCUGCAAGAGCUGGGGCCCAGUGCUGUCAUUCCCUAGCCAGGCCUCAUAUGAGCCUGGAAAACUUGCUGUUGAUCCAUAUCCUCACCAGGAGAUGCUGAAUGGAAUCUGAUGGGAAUACAGAGCUGGACAAAAGUUUCUUGUGAGUAAUUUCUCAUGAGAACACAAUUCCCCACAAAGGAAAUUCCUUGUUUCUGCUAAAUUUAGUAGCAAUACUGCAAAGAGAGAACACUUGCCUCAUAUUAAAAAUUUUUGUUCUUCUCAAUCCAGUAGAGAGAGAGAAAUUCCCUAAGAUCUUACAAUCUAGAAGGUUGUUUUGAUCUUGUAUUAAGAGUAUAUAUUUGAAAAUUUCAGUGGUUUAUUGUCUGUGGAAUUGAAUGCAGUGAAUGGAUUGGGACAAAUUCUCAACAGGUGUGAACUGACCUUGACAACUGCAUUUUCUUCAGUUUCUGUCAGCUAAAAAUUCUGGUACGGCUUUGAGAUUAUCAUGUAGUGGUUUGAAAUCUUGUUUGUCUGAGGCUGGCCAGGGGGCAGUUUCAGGGAAAUCUAGUUCCCAUAGAUGUUAGACGGGUACUUGCGGAAGCAGAUUUGGCCUCUGUGUCUGCAUUGCUUUUGACUGAGGUUCCUGAUCUGCACAGGGUUCCUGUGAGCAGCCAUUCAAUGCUGUAACUUCUCUAAGAUGCAGUUUUCUCUCUGUAAGAUGAGGGUAGUAAUUUAGCACUGAAUUUCUCCUCACUCAAGUGAUGCAAGGAGAAAUCCAUUAAUGCAAGGCAUUUAGGUAAUCAGGUAAUGGUGACUAUGAGCAUCACAAGUACCUGGAUAUAGUCCUGCAGAGAGAUGCACUUAUAUUUAUAUGGAGAUAAGAGUCAUGCUUUUCUGUAUCUGCUAUGGAACCAUUUGACAUUCUGUGUUGAAAAAGCCCAAGACAGGGAAAUAAAUAUCCUAAUUGCAGUUCCAGAGAAGAAUCAUUUGGAAAUAAAGAAUGGAAAAUUGAAAAGUGCUGUUUUAACUUCUGUUGUCAUUUGUUCUGCCAAGCUAUGUGAAGGUUUUGAAAAAUAAAAGUGCUAUUUUGCGGCUCCUGCUCUCCCUCUGUAA